Molecule: long non-coding RNA, 24144 nt
Filed under: Xyrichtys novacula (pearly razorfish)
Lineage: Eukaryota; Metazoa; Chordata; Actinopteri; Labriformes; Labridae
Source: RNAcentral
GUUUCUCAUUUGGAUACCUGAGCCGGCAUGAUGGCGUGAAUGGACUCCCGGUAGGUAAGUGACGGUAUGAGUGUCUGUGUGAAUGUAUGUUUAAGUUAACCGAUAGAGCUCCGAGUGUGCAGCCUUGGUCACCCUAUCCAACAGAGAAGGGAGAAGGAAAAGUAGCGCUGUUUAGUGUUGAAUUAGCGACGCUAGCGGGGAGGGAAAUGUUUGGCGUGUACGAAGGUAUAUGUGUGUGUGUGGCUUCACGCGCUGCCCGCGUGAGGACGCCGUUCCGUCACACCCGCCAAACGUUAAAAUUGCGGUAAUAUUUGUAAUGUUAAAAUGGUAGUUUUUCCACAGUCAUUAGCAAAUAUGGCUCAAGGGGUGGAAAGUUGGGAUGACCGUUUUAGAAAGGGGGGUAAUUUUGACCAUUUUCAUUUCAGAGGGGAUGCCUCAACUCGGGUACUGAUUGUGCGCAUUCAGCGGGAGAGUUGCCGAGAGUUGCUGUGAUGAUUGGAGCCCUCAUAUCUGCGCGGCCGCCAUCUUGGAUGGGUCCCCCGUGCGCCUCCAGUCAGUGCAUUAAGGUACGUAGGAAUGCCCAACCAUAUUGAUAAUAACUCUCUGAAUCUCUGCCCGAUUUUCACAUUGUUUGGUUUGUUACAACGGCAGGGAUGUAGCCAUAAUACAGGACAAUGUCACACAUUAAAAAUAAAACAAAUUAUUUUUCAAUCCUAUUUGUGAAAUCUAAUCCAACGUGAUCUGGUGUCAAUACUGCGUCGGGUUUUUCAACCAUAGAAUGCAAAAAAAAGGCAUAGUUGCUCAUUCUCCAUUGACCCCGUUUGGCUCUUGAGCGAGCCUGGAGUGGGGAGACACAUACAGUAUGGCGGUGACACUGGAUUACGCUCCAGCACGUAAUUAGGCGUUUACGUGUAGAAUGUGUAUCAUAUACAGUGGAUGUAUAUUCUGUGUAAUAAAUUUAUAAAGUUUUUCCACAGCUCCAUAAGGAUGGCUGGCAGAGGGCAGGAUUCAUGACCUAUACUGCAGCCCGUCACCAGAGGGUGCAGUUCUCGGAGUGGCUUCACCCAGCGAGGAGGAUGACAGCGUCCAUUCUACAUACAGUCGAUGGUCCAACCUAAAGGUGAAGAUCUGAACAGGUAAGGAAACCUAUCUUUUCUUUAAUGCUUUGCGACAAGGUAUCAAACUGUCAUGUUUCCAAUCUUCCCAGGAAUCACACUGCUUUCCAGCACUGACUUAAGUUACUUCAAGCGCAUUUCCAACACAAUUUGUUGUUGAACAAACUCAUCACAUCAAUCUGCUCACAGCCUCCAGUAAACUCUCUGAAAGUCUGAAAGAUGAAUAAUGAAGGCGUUACUUGAGUUUUUCUUUCAACACUGUUUGAGUCUCGUGUUUUUACUUCUUCUCUUGAACAGUCCUCUGUCAGAUUUGAGAUUCUGAAUUCUUUGAAUACUCAAGUCUUCUUCUGAGAAAUACCACCUUAAAAACCAUACUUUCAUUUCCUGCUGCCCUAACUCUUCUUAAAGCAGACAGUUUCAAUAAAACCUACAAAUCCCCCGAAGAUCUGACUGACCUCAGAGAAACAAACACAGACAUUGAACAAGAGCCACACAGCUCAGAAAAUUCAUUGCUUGUACAGAAUAAAAAAUAAGACACAAAUAAUAAAAAAAGAAACAGAUAAGAGAUAAAAUAUUGAAGUCUGUACAAACAGACAGAAGCUGCUAUGACAGCUGAAGUGAUUCAGCCAUGAAAACAAAGGGGAGAGUUUGGCAACAACAAGCAAGAUUACAGGAAAAAGGGGAAGGAAUGAAGGAGAAACACACAGGUGGUGAACAUAGUGUACACACAGUAGACUAAUAAAAUACCUGCACACAGGCUGAUUUAAAAACCAUAACUCUUGCUCGAGUUUUAAAGUGUCUUGUUUGGGAAACGUUCCAGAUCCAGUGCGUAUAGAAAGAGCAGAGAAGUAAAUUCUCCUAGAAUAAAUCCCAGCCACUAAUAUCACCAAGAGUUGCUCAUUAUCAGGCCCUGCUGUCUGCUCCAGUGUUAGGUCUAAGUCAUAAAGCAUAAUUGUUUAUUGAUGUUCAGGUAAAAACUUCCAAGUAAAAGUUCUCUGGAUGAGAUGGAUAAGGAGGACAUGUUUUGUACUAGUGAAAUGAUAUUUAUCAUAUUUUUAUUACAGUCUUAUCUAAAGUCAAAUAGCAUGGAUGUGGGUAGUAAAUAAAACCUCAACUGAUUUAGAGAGGACCUUAAAAAAGAUAUUUUUCCCCCUUUGUUUAAAAAAAGGGUACAUAACUGUAAAAGUGAGUGUUUUUGUCAUCCAACUUUAAUCCAUUUGGCUCUUGCUAACGUGUUUUGAUGACUAUUUUGACAUGAAAUAGGUCAACCAGCACUAAGAAGAAAAGAGGCAUGAUGCCGCCCUUGACAUAUGUAUGUCAAUAACUUGAAUCUUACCUGACAGCAGUCCAUUUCAGUCAAGAAAUAAACAUAGCUCAACAUAAGUGUGCUUUUUUACAUACUUAGUGCGUUGAUUUAUGUGGAUCCAUACUUAAAGAAAGUAGGAGCUUUAUUCUCAAAUAUUUUUUAUCAUGGGGUCCAGAUUCGUUGGGCUAUUUGGACUUUAAACUGCGAUGCUAAGGAGCACUGUUACCAGUCAACUUAGCUCCCCCUCUUGUCAACAUUGACAGUGUUUUUACUGAGAAUCAAAGCCUUUAAAAGGUGUUGCUUUUUUAACAGGGGUAUCUAAGCCCCCAACAUGUUGGAUAAGUGUUAUUUUUUGUCUGAUUCUAUCUUCAAGCAUAGUCUAAAGCAUAAAAAUGCACACUUUGGUGCAGUUUUGCAUGUCUGUGCCGACUCAAAGAUGACAACCUCUUCAGAGGGACUUGCCAAGCCCAAACUAUUAUUGACUAUGAAUAGAUGUCUGAUGUUUUGUCACAAUACAAACCACUGUAAAUGGAUUCUAAAUUCAGGGACAGAUAUGGUAAUAUGAGCGUUGACUGUAUUUAGAUACAUAUGUUGUACUCAUGAUGGUGUAGCAACAUUUUCUCUUUGUCUGUGUAAAGACAACCACGGGCACCAAAUCUCAGUUUAAUACUUUAUGUUUGAGUUGGAACUAAUACAUGUUGUUGCAGUUGCUAAUGCCGCAGUUUUUGCAAAGAAGGAAAGAGAAGAGAUUUGAGUUGCACAGGAAGAAGGACAGCAUCAUCUAUUUGCCACCAAGCGAACCAAUCACAUGACUUGCGGUCCGAGUUGUUUCAAUAUGUAGCUACAUUUUUGAAUUGGUGCACAAUCUGCAGUGAAUGUCUCCUUUUGAUUGUUACAGAGUUCAUGCUGGGGGUGGAGCGAGAGGGAUAUCACUCAAAAAUGAUCAUCCAAUGAGUCUGGAGAAAUGGUUUCGGCAACAAGACAAGCUGUUUUUCUAGGAGGAAAUCUGCUUUCACUCACAUGUAACGAGACCGUCACUUUGAAAUCACAGAUGCUUUUUUAAUCGUCAUGGUUCAAAUUCUCACAACUAUAAACCGUUUGUUUGGCCUGGUUUCACAUGUCACCAAUAGCCAGGACUAAAAACAUUACAGAGAAAACAUUCAUCUUAACCUGAGAACAGUUCAUAUAAAAUACUCAGAAUAUCAAUAACCAAAGGCUCAACACUAAUCCACUGAACACUCUAUCCGAGAAGCCCUGGCACUGAGGAGAGCUUGACCCAGCUUAAGGUCAGCAAACUGGGGUGAACUUAAACUAGAGGUGCUUCAACUGAAACAGAGUGCUGGUAGUUGGAUAGGGUUAGGGUUAGGAAUCCACAUACUGAUCUACAAUUACAGGAUAUCAUACUGGUCAGCCUCAAACAGCUGGAGAGAGGACACUGGAACUACAUCUGGAAAAAAUAUGAUUCUAGCUUCUGGCUUCUGAUUGGACUCUUACAGGUUAAGAUACAGCCUCUGAUUGGUUGGCAGACCAGAGCAAAGAUGGCCCUGUCUAGCAUAGUCAGCAAACAACAGGAAUGGCACUACUUGCUAAAAUCAAGAUGUAAAUCAUCACAGAGUAAAUUUGUUUUGGGGAGAUUGGAUCCUAACAGUCUCUGAAAAUACUCUGUCACUGCGAUAUAUAGAGACCCUGGAAAAACACAAAAAGCUACCGGUCUUACAGAGCAAAUGAAUUGCACAGUAAGUUGGUACAUGGUACUGUUUUAAUUUUGGGACUGAAUUUGUGAACUCAACAGAAUUAAAGGGGAUAUUCCAGCGUAAAAUCAAGUUAGGGUCAAACACACCGUAACACCAAGUUGGAUAUUCUGUCAAGAGAUGAAUGUUGACGACCGCUUGCUUCCCUAGUUAAACCAACUUUAGUAAUGACCGCACGAUAGCAAUACACAACGGUCUGAGGAGCCACGCACAAACCUCAACCAGAACGCCACUCUAUAGCCACAAAUAAUGCUCAGAACAGCACCUAACUUCAUCAACAGUACAUAUAGGGUCCCAGCCACAGCACUAGCCAUCUUUACUUUAUCAUUUCCUUUAUUUAAUAAUCCCCAUAUUAAUCAUUUUGCACUGCAGACGCGGUAGUUCUUCUGUCCUAGCAUCUCGGUCUGAUUGCAUUUCCAUGAAGAAAUUAUCAUAAAUGUGCUUCCUUGAGCUGCUUCACCCCGCUGCAGUCGAUAGACUCGCCCGGAGGUCUCCGUACAAACAAGCGGCUGCUGGAAGGGAGUGGGUGAGUUGUGUUUAGUCUCAGGCAAAGUUAAAAAGAUGUUUGGUGGCUAGUGAUAUGGCUAGGACCCUAUAUGUACUGUUGAUGAAGUUAGCUGCUGUUCUGAGCAUUAUUUGUGCCUAUAGAGGGGCUUUUUGGUUGAGCCCGUGGCUCCUGGGACCACUGUGUAUUGCUAUUGUGCGGUCGUUACUCAAGUUGGUAUAACUAGAGAAGCAAGUGGUCGACAACAUUCAUCUCUUGCCAGGAUGUCUAACUCAGUGUUACGGUGUUUGACUCUUACUUUAUUCUACGCCAGAAUAUCCCUUUAAGUUGAACAUGAUAGUGUGAUGGACUUCUUUUAUCUUCUUCCCUCCAUGAUUACUUCCUCUGUUGCUAUUCGUGUGGACCGCUUCUUGUGAUCAUGUUAUCGUUUCGCAAGGCAUGCUAAUAAAAUAAAGGUUUCAGUAAGAGAACCAUUAAGCUAAAAAGCACUAAUGUGAUGGGGCAAACCAGUUGAAACUAGUUCUGACCUGGAAUUGUUCCUCAUUUUCAGCCUUAGUUUGAAUGUUGUAAGUUUAGGCAACAGUUGCUGAGAUUCAGUUGUUAGUGGACUGUGUUCUGAUUUUAAUAAUGUCAUCAAUGUCACAGUCUGACAAAUCUGGGAUCUGUUAUACUGUUAUCACCCAUUCAAACACAAGUUCUGUCAUACGUACUCACAUAUUAUGUAUUUUAUCUGCAGCUACCAGAAUCUCACAGAAAUUGUCUCCUGUGUGGCGUUUAAUUCCUCGGGCUAUAUUAUUUGUUUGUUGUUGUGAUGGAGCUGCAGGAAAGUGUCUGUCUUUACUGAAACUUUCCUCUUGCAUGCAGUUGCUCGGGUCCAUUCGCUCUCUUUCGGUGAUUCAUGAUCACUGGAAACAAUCUGGAUUAGAAAUUCUCUCUCACUGUUUUGUGAAUGCCAGCACUAAAAUGAGUAAAGUGCUGGUUCAGGAAGGUUAAACCGAGCAAGGUUUGAGGGUGAGAUCAAGUUUUCUUUGUAAAAUCAAUCACUGCAGGCUGUUUUUCUGACUCCUGCUGCAGAUACUCACCUUCAUUAAAGGCCUCUCAUUUAUCUCCUGUUAUAUAACUGCCUGUACUGUUCCAGCAUCUUUUAUACAUGAAAAGCCUAUCAAUGAGAGUAUGGAUAAUGUGUGUGUGUGUGUGCACUGUGUGUUUGUGUAUGUGUGUGUUUGUGCUGUUUGAGUUUAGCCAGCAGCUCAGAGACAAAGCUGUUGCUAAGCUGGAUCUCUCGCUGCAGAAGAAAUGCAGUGUUUGUGCGGGGCUAUUUGGGUGCCACCUCCCUGGAGAUGCUCGGGGCACUGGCACCCUGACCAGGCCUCUCUUGGCUCGGUUCUGCAUGGAUCACUGGGGGUCUACCUGAGUCCAGAUUCUCAGCAGAACCAGGAUUCAGGAUUAGGUUGUGAUUUUAUUACAUUUUAAUCACAGUUCAGGACUGGUUUAAGGUCUGACUUCUUGUGAGAUCCCAUGGAUAUAUAGGUGUAUGUGUCCCUGCAUGUGUGUAAGGGUUUGCAAAUGUGUAUGUGCAUGUGUGCGUGCAUGUGUGUGUGUCCAGAACAUAAAGGCAGUCAGGCUCAUAAUGAGACUGAGGCCCUCUGACCAGGCUUUAGAAACAGUGGGCAGACUCUUGGCACCGUCAGGGUACUACAUCUUGUGGACAAAGAGGUAUUCAUGGGCACCUAUAUGCACAGGCAUACGCUCACACACACACAUACACACACACACACAUACCUAACACACACAUUCGCACACACAAGUUAAUGAGCGUCACACAUGGUGACACUCUGCUGAUUAAUGUUCAGUGGUUUAAACUCAGGAGAAGAGGAGAGAUUCAGUCCUUUGCCUUGUGUGUUUGUUUGUGUGCUGCUGCAGAGUCACAUGACGCCUAAAAAAAGUAACAACAAGGUGAUGGCUCUAAUUCACUUUAGCUGGCUGAAAUAAGAUUUCAAACAGUCAUGUUUUGUUAGUUAGAUAACAUUUUUCUAGUCUAAUCAUGACAAUUUAAUUGUUAUAUUGAAGGCAAAACAUUUUCUCUCUGAUAAAGUUAACCGACCAAAUAUUCAAAUCUUCAAUGCAACAUUUCACUCUCUUUAAACACUGUAAUGUACAUUAUAGUGGGAUUUAUUACCCUUACCAUAUUUUUCGUGUGAUAAAGUGCACCGGAUUAUACAGCGCACUGUGAAUUAACGUGCCUUUGUUAUUAUUACUGUACCCUUUAUUUAACCAGGUUUGUCCCAUUAAGAUCCAAGAUCUCUUUUGCAAGAGAGACCAGGCCAAGAAUGGCAGCACAUACAGUUUCAAUACAUAAUCACAUUAAUCAUAUAGAAUACAAAUAAUACAAAUGAUAAUUGAAUUUUCAGAAUUAGUUAAAAGAAUUUACAAGAUUAGUCAAACAUUUGCACUCCUGAAGCCUGGAUGUGAUUGAAUUUAUCAUGGAUUUGAAUACAUUCAGAGAUACCAGACUUUGGAGUUUCAGGUCUGAUUGCCAGAUCACACAAAAGGCACACCAGAUUGUAAGGCGCAUUAAGCAUUGAUUGGUUUAUUGUUGCUAGUGUGUACUGCGGCUCCCUUACAUGAAUGUACUUCUCGUUUAGACAUUACAGUCAGGCAGUCUUGUUGACGGCUCAGGGGUCCUGUUACGGUGAUCAGGUAGUGACACAGAGUGCUGUAAUGCUCUGAAUAUCUUUGGAGCGGCUUUGUGGCUUACCAAAUUUAGACUUGCACAUUUCGACAAACUUUUUAGUGCAUUUUACCACAUAAAAUCGGUCAGUAAGCACAACAAGUAAUCAUACAUAAGGUGCACUGGAUUAUAAGGGGCACUGUCAAUUUUUGAGAAAAUCAAAGGAUUUUAAGUGCGCCUUAUAGUCCGAAAAAGACGGUAAUUGAUUAUUUAGCUUAAAAUGUCCCACAAUGCAAUACUACUGUGACGUUUGUUCAAACUGCUGUUGUACUAUUAUGGUCUACUAGAGAUGUGUUUCUUACUCCAGGCAAGAAAUGAAUAACAUGCUGUCAUCGGGGGAUUGAUUUUCCGAAGAACUUAUAAUGAUGAAAUUGUCAUAUCCUACUUGUGAAAGGUACAGAGAUGUGACAGUAUUGUCAUUGUUCGAUAUAUGUAUAUCCCAUGGCUCUUGGUAACGCAUCGGUCUUAUUCAGUCCCUGACAUAGAGGGUAAACCAGAUGAUGACCGAGUUGAAAGAGGGCAUGUGGCCACCUACAGUAGAGGAGUCAGACAUAUGGACAUUGGUGCAGUAUUCCAGUUAAAGCAGGAGAAAAGUCUUCAGUGAAAAUGAUCACGGAGGAUUUGAGGAUUUGUUCCUGUAGCACACUUGGUUUUGAAAGGUGACAUUUGAUCCCAUGGUUAAAAAAGUAUCUCAUAUUCCUUGACACCAACUUGUUCCUCAUGUCCACUUAACUAGUUUUCCUCUGAGGGUUUUUGUUUUGAUUUCAUUCAACAAUGAAAAAGUUAAUGUAUCUACCUUUAUUAAUAUUACCUCUAGAUGGCUGUAGAAUUACACCCUCUGAGGUAUUUCUGUGUCCUUCUAAAACACAGGAUGGAGCAUCAGAGGUUAAAAAUACAACAGUCAGGUCAGCAGUGAGGUGGUUGUUUAAUGUUCAAAAAAUGUUAAGGAAAUCAACAAAAGCAACUCAACUAAAGGUCUAACAAAGGAAAAUAAAACAGCCUCACAGCAGGCUUGUUACCAACCACACACUUCUCCUGGAAGUGGCUGGCUGCUCUUUUGAAGCACCUCCCUGACCCCGCCCUAAUUGAAAACAAUUGGGCGAGAGGGAAACCAGGAAAGGUAAAUCCCAUGAAAACAUGACAAAAUACCAAGUAAUUAAACAUUUUAAAGUGGAAACUCAACUAUGUACAUAUUAAUAUUAAAAGAAAGCAUAAUCAAAUGAAAAUUGAGGAUUUCACUAAGUUUACCCACUCCCUUGAAGUUAUCAAACCUAGAUUAGAGAGCUCAGGCUGCACUGCUAUAAGAACAGACAUGACUGAAGUGGGAAUCACUGUAUGAGCACAAAAUCACUUCUAGAAACAGCGUGUUGCAGCAUCCACAAAUACUGGUUGAAAUCUUACUGUGCAAUAAAGAAGACAUACAUCAACAGAUCCAGAAAUCCCAGACAUGACAAAUCAUACACAUACUUUUACCAUUAUCAUUGGCACAUUAACCCUAUGUCUGUAUGCGAUGUUGUUGUUGUUAUUGUUGUCGUCUUUAUCCAUCUCUUUUCGUCUUAAUCACCCUCUACACCUGUUUCCAAUUCCAACACUGUUGCAGCAGAUCAUUUUUCAGCAGGAGUCAGGUUUGUGAAUGUUGAAGACAGUUUUCUUUGCCCCUAUUGCCCAAGUGCCACAAAGUGCUCUGCUCAUGGUGGAUUAAGAGGAAAUAAAUCUUAUCUAACCUUGAUGUCGGGUCUUUGUAAACUCAUAGAAAAGAUUACAGUCUAGACCUACUCUAUUUGUUAAGUGUCUUGAGCAAACAAAAUUGUUUAAUAUAUUUUAGACCAAAAAAGACAGUUAUUUUUUAUCUAAUGCUGCUCAGCUGUAACCUUGUUUGAACCUGCAGAAGUGCCACAUCAUUAAAGUGAGUGUUAUUUAAUGUAUCAUACAAAAAUGUACUCCGGUGUGAUGUUCUGCAGAGGAAUGUGCACAAAAAAACUCUGUAAGGCUCCUAGACAGACAGAGAAGGUGACAGACUGGGUGGUUCCUGGUGGUCUGAGGGGUCAGGAAAAAGUAUGGCACCAGUGUGUACCAGGUCCUGUCCAACCCCUGAGAAAACCUCACCAUCACAACACCCCCACCCCCCCACCACAGACAGUGUCAUGACCCCUAUUCUCCCAGACAAAAGGUGGAAAUUCACAGGACGUCACAUUUCUGCAGCACGUCAGACCAGUCCACAGAUUCAGAGUCAUGAGAACGAGAGCCGGUCUCUGCUGUCCAGGUUAUGUGUGAAACGGUUAUUUCUGCAAUAGAUCAGUCAACCAUACAGAAACACAGUCAUAUGACGGUACAUUAAACCCCAGAGGGCCUUAAGUAACCUACUUUCAGCACUGUCAGCGUGAGAGAGGUUCAGCUACAAAAAUGCAAUCACACAUUUAACAUCUUUUUAAUUUAAAUCAAUUUACAACAAUAGUGAAUGAGCGAACAAGUCGAUCAGACACAAAUACCCACUGAGCAAUAGACGGCUAUUAAAUGCUAUACAACGGCUAUUCAAAAAUAAUUAUGAUAGCCGUUGAGCAACAUACAGUGUAGUAUAGAUAUAGCCCAGAUUUAGACUUGGUCUAAACUUGGUCUAAAUUUAGACGCUUAAAAAACAUUCAUUUUUAGAUCUGUGGUAGCCUGAUUUUAGACCAGUCGUCUAGGCCAGUGGUUCUCAACUGGUCUCACUCUGGGACCCUUAUUUUCCCAUGGUCCUUAUUCGCGACCCAUUUUUUUAUCGAAUACAAACCAAGCAAACUUAUUUUUUAUUAGAAAAACCUAUAAAGACUUAAAUCUUUACCAUAAAUACACCCAUUUUAUUGAGUUAAGUGCAUUUCAGGGCACAAGGGCUGAGGACGACAACUGCCGAAAUGAAAGACAAAAAACCCCCCCAAAAAACAUGUAUUUUUACUGCAUUCAGGAGGAGGACCACGACAUAAUGUGUGCCUUUUGAAAUAAGCUAUUAUUCAAAAUAAAAGACAUGUCAAACAUUAAAUAUUUACUUUUUUGACCAGCUGUUCGCCACCCAUCCAUAACAUGUCCACGACUCACUUUUGGGUCAGGACCCACUAGUUGAGAACCACUGGUCCAGGCCACAAUUAGAUGUCUAUUAGACCUCUUUUAGACCAAAAAGUACUCAGUGGGUAAACUCCUCUCUAAAUCUUGAUGGUAAAUAGAGAGGAUCACGGACAAUCCUACAUCUCCGUAAACACAAAUAAAGAGAGUAGAGGUGUGAUAUGAAGUGAUCCUGUACUGAGUGCAUUAUUUGAGUGAGUGUCGGUGCCCUGAAAUAUAUAUAAUAUAUAAUAAAAUAAUCUUGGAAGUUUCAUGCCAGUGUGCAAAACUUGCUGCCUAUUCCUAUAUCUGUCUAUAACCUGAAAACAGUAGUAGACAGCACAAGCAGAUCAACCCGAGUAUUGAUUUACGUUACAGCUGCGAUUUUCAACCAAGUAACAAAACUAGGUUCAACACCAGCUGCUUGAGAAACCUCCACAUUCCACAAAAAUUCACCUGAACUUUAAGGGAGCAAGAAGGAAAUAUUCCAGGUUGAGGUAGCCUGAUUUUAGACCAGUCUUCUAGGCUACAUUUAGACGUCUAUUAGACCUCUUUUAGACCAAAAAAUGCUCAGUGGGUACCUGCUAAGUAAGGAAUAAUGUGGAUUAAGCUGGUGGCAAAAAAACAAAACAAAACAAAAAAAAAACAGACAAGCUGAGAUAAAACAGGUGAAGCUCAUUUGUGACGAAUAUAUCAAAUUUCACAGUUUAUAUCUGUCUUUCAUUGUUGGGUGGAUCUGUUGGAACUUGAUGUUUCUCCAACAGAUUGUUUUAAGUCUAAGCUCUUUAUUUAAUUGAACACACUCCUUACUGUUUAUUCACAAAUUGCCAACAAAGGAAGCUCACCAUGACCAGUGAAAAACUCACCUCACCCCUUCACCUCUCAAUGUCCACAGACUCAAACUCUAUAAAAAUGAUUCGGUUUGUCUUAUGCAUUGUCUGAAGUUUUCUUGUAUCAGUCCAGCCCAUGUGUUACCUGAGCAGGUGAUAGGUGCAGGCUAGGUGAGCAGUCAGCAGAGAGAGUGAGAGAACAAUCUUGUGUUGACUGAGUGUGUUUGAAACCUGCAGCAGGUACACCGCUUCACUUUUUGACAUCCUCUCCACAAACAGGACAUGUUGUAAACUCAGAUGUUUUAUUUCCACUUGAAGAUUCAACAAUUCGAUGCUUAAUUUAACAAACAUGCCGUUCUGAGGAGAAUUUGUCCAGAGCUGAAAAUAACCUCAGCUUUAUUAAAUUAUGAUCAACUGAGAGAAAUGAUGCAGGCAGAAAACAAGCCCAUCGUGUUAAAUCCAUAUGUGUUACUGAGAACAGCCGUGUACAGAAAACACACACACACAUGUACACACAUACACACACGCACGCACUUGUCCUCAUCUGCAGUUCAGAUGAGUAAUACUGAUAACACGGAUGUCUUUAAUAAAGAUCAAACAGUCACUCUGUCUGCAGCUGGUCUGCUCAACAGUCCGCACAUGGUGUGAAGGAAGACACGUCUAAUCAACACACAUACACACACAUGCAUACGCACACACACAAUUUAAAAGACAUAAAACAGAGGGAGAAACAUGCUUGUAUGUGAAAUUGCAUGUGCUAUGAUCCAUUGAUAACGACUUACGGUUAGUAUCAGUCAGUACAAACUCCUUCAUAAUUGGUCAAUGCUGAUUCCUCAUUCGUAGACAGAUGUCUGUUGGAAACCAGACACUCAUGACACCAGUUAACUAAGUGGGUAGACUCUGAGGACUUGAUCACUUCUUGUCUGGUCUGGGGUCAGAUUAGACGGGCUAAGGUUGCAUUUUUUAAAGAGGAUUUAAAGGGGUUAAGUUUUUUAAAGAAUACAGAUUAAAAGGUGGAUGUAUUGAUAAUGGAUCAGCGUUUGCCACACAUGAAGAGUAUUCAUCUGCCUCAGACCUCUCAUUGUUCUCGGAGGUGAUAAAUCUGUUAAUGCCUAAAAGUUAGUCGGAUUUUAAGGAAAAGGAGAUACCUUGUGUCGUGUCAAAAGUUCCUUUCUACCCAAAGAAUGUCUGUAAUCUGUCUUUAAUGUCCUCCCUCCUGGUCUACAUGCAAACCCAGAGGCUUAUGCUGUGUGCUAUUAGUAAGGUCUGCUGCUAAUUUAACAAGGGGGGGAAAUUACUUUUUCACAUAGGUCCAUGUUGAUUUGGAUUGCUUAUUUCCCCCUUAAUAAAUGAAAUCAUCAUUUCAAAAGUGCAUUUUGCAUUAACUCAGGUGAUCUUUGUCUGGUAUUUAAAUUUGUUAGGUGAUCUGAAACAUGUGAGCGUGACGAAAAAGCAAAAAAAGAAGAAAAUCUGUAACAUUUUACAAUAACCAUAACUUAUAAAUAGUAAAUAGACCAUUUAUAAAUGGUAAGCAGAUAGUUUAUUAAUGUUUAAUCAUCAUUUACAAAUCGCAUGUAGACCAUUAAUAAAUUGUAAAUUCAACAAUUUUAAAAGCCUAACCCUAACUUUACAAUAACAAUCUAAGUAAUGUUUAUAGGUGUUUAUAAACCAUUUAUUAAUUAUUUACAAAGUAUUACAAACAUCAGUUGCAACUUUAUAAUAACCAUCUAAGUAAUGUUUAUAGAUGAUUUAAAAACCAAAUAUUAACCAUUUAAAAAGUGCUACUUAAACACAUUUUAAUCUAGAUGUUUUACAACCAAUAUUUAAACCCUGUAUAAACCUUUAAUAAAUGGUCCAUUAAUAAUGAAUGAAAAUUAUUAAUCAUAAUUUCAUUGCUUGUUAAUGGUAAAGUUACUUUUAACUUGCAUGAAUAAACUAUCUGUUUGCCAUUUAUAAUUGGUCUUUAUGCUGUUUUUAAGUGAUGAUUAAACAUUAAUAAACUAUGUAUUUAUCAUUUAUAAAUGAUGGUUAUUGUAAAGUGUUACCAGAAAAUCUUUAAAGGGGCAAAUACUUUUUCACAGCACUGUAGCAGGUCAAUCCACUUCCCCUACCUGGACUAGUCUUCCCUUAAUUCAGGGCGAGUACUCAACCUUGUGCCAGCAUUUUUGCAUCCUUGGAUUUACCCCGUAUCAUAGCAACUGUACACAACCAGAGACUGACAGAUACAAAAAACACUUAACCUCCAAAAGGGCUUUCAGGCGUUCACUUCUGGUUGUUCUAGCUGAGUGUUUGGUGUUUAGAUGGACAGAUUCAGGUCCUUUCUGCACCGAUGUUGCUCUGACACAUCCUGUGAUUGAACUGGUUGACCCAUCAGUGUUUUUCUGUAGCUUCCCUGUACCUGACUUUUAUCUAUAAUGUUAUAAAAACCAAAGAGAAAAGACCGUCGACUCUGGUGGUCUUGGAUCGUAUCUCUGUCUUUGAAGGGGGAACAUUUUCUUGGAAAGGUCGGGAUUAAGCCUCAGUGGUGGAAGUAUUUGGGGUUGUGGUUGGGGGUUGGGCUAAAUUUUUGAGUUUGAAGCCUGUGACAUUUAGUAUUGAUAGUUUUCUUCAGCGUCAGAUUAAAACACCAUGUCUGAAGACAGAUUAUGCUUAUAACGAUAUUAAAACCUCCAAUUAUUUUGGCUUAUCCAGCUCAGAGUAUUUGUAAUGUUUGAAAGGUUUACCAGCUCAGCUUUCAGCCGAGUCUUUCUUACCUUUCUUCCCAACAGAAAAAGAAGUGUCCUGUUUCUGAUUUUGAGCCGAUGAGUCCACAAAGGCAAAAACCGGCCUGUUUGGUCUUUAAUGAAAAAGAAAAGCUGCAAUGAAUGAUCUAAUAAAAUGGUACCAGGUAUUCGGAGCCCAAUCUGAGCACCGCUCUGUAAUUAAUCCCUGAAUCAAUUUUAUUACAACCAACACUUUUAUGAUGCAGUUCACCGGCAUGUGCAAUGAAAGCCUAGCAGAGCAGCUCUUGUCUUACUCUGUUUGAAAAUGGCUGCAUACUCAGAUGGAGGACAAUUCACACCGCCAGUGCCAGAGACAAAUGGUCCCAGAAAUUCGGUGAAAGAAUAACAAAGACCGUUCUGGGCAGCAGAUGUGUGAAGGAUGGAUCAAUGAGUCAACAUUGACUUUAAUGAAAUGAGAAACUCUGUUCAACUUAACAAUAUGAUUUGAGAAACUAGCUCAGGGGCCUGUCUUUUGAAACAAUUUGAAAGAAGAUGAUUCAAAAGGACUGUGGUGAAGAAAGACUGAAUAUUGGUUAAAGACAAAGGCAUUGCACACGAUUAUCGUGUGAUAAAGUGCACAAUUUAAAUGGAAAAUUCCUUUUUCAAACGUGCCUGGAUUAUCAGGAAAAUAUUGUCUUUAUUUAAUACAAAGAGCUUUUCUAUUCUUAUAGCGUGCACAUAUGUCUAUUCGUAUGUCUUCACAGCAGGCCUACUUAUGUCUGAAGAUAAUCUUUUAUCAAUCAAAGUACAUGCUGUUAAAGAUCUUGUUUUCUUUUUUUUUGGUUUCAGGCUCUGAUGGUCUGACAACAUUGCUAAAAGGAUCCUUCUUUUUCCCAACAAGACAAUUUGAUUUAACCAGAGACAUCUGUUACAUCAUUCUCUUCAAAGACACCAGACUCCAUUGAUAAAAACAGGAAUUUUAAUUGAUAGAUCUGCUGUGUCAGGGAAAGAUUAAACACAUCCAGAUUCAGUGCCGGGUCCAGGAAGACUUUUGUAAUGAAAUAUAAAUGCACAUUUUAAAUGUAAGACACUUCAAAAAGGUUGGGAUAGAGGUGUUUACCAUCGUGUUGAAUUCUUCUCUUAUUAAGACUUGAAAGUUAAGGGUUUGAGGAUAUGAGAUUCAGCUGUUCAGUAGAUAGGGGGUCUCCUGUUCGUUCUAUGAUGAGAUGACUGAUUUCAAUGGGUGACAAGCCAGGACUAGAGGCAGGCUAGUUUAGCAGCAGGCCUCUUCUACUACAGAGCCAUGUUGUUGUAAUCCCUGUAGAAUGGGUUUUGGCAUCAGCCAUGUUCACAUGGGCAAAAUUUCUUGAUCCGAUUAAAGGUUUGAAGGAUCAGAUAAUCUGAAUCCACUGUUUAUAUGCAAAAUCAAAAUCCUAUCAUGAUGUGUGUAUACAUGCACCAAGUUUUAUUUAUUUUAUUUAUUAUUUAUUUAUCCGAGAAGAGAGUGCUUUUUGAUAAAAGACAAACAUUACAAAGAUAAUGACCUGAAGGACAACUUGUGGAGAGUCAUAGCGUCGGAUCUCUCAUAUGAAGAUGGUUUGUGUGCUUUAACAGUUUGCUAAACAUCUUUGUUUUAACUUUCAUCUGUGCUAACGUAAGCUAACCGUUGUUACCAUAGUUUCAUGUGCUUAUCUUAUCACCUCUGAUUGUCUAUAAGUGCUGACCGUUUGGCUUGAGCGUGUGAUGACGUUUCCAGCUUUUGUAGUUAAUCAGAGGCGAAGGAGGCGGGACUUUCCCCAGAAAAAGUCUUCCCAGGAUGCGUCUUUUUCCCCCUGGAAAGUUGCAAAAUUGCAUUGGGCUUGAUGUGGAUAGUCAGGCGCUUCAAAAUUCACGUUGGCCCCGGUGUGUAAGGACCUUAAGUGUUCAGAAUGGACGCGUUUCGGAAUAUUGAUCGGCAUAAACAACCCCUCUCGAUUGGAAUACAAUAUUUUUAUGAUUGAGCCGAAUUGGAUCAGAAUCUUCCAAUUGAUGUGCUUACAUAAUGCAUUUUUUAUUCCGAUCGGGCAUUUAUUCCGAUUAUUUGUGCCCAUGUGAAUGCAGUCAAAGGUCAUCACAUGGAUGUCAGCAAUGACUGGAAAACCAUCAUAAAUUUUGUUGUUAACAUUUUACACCGCAUCCCAAAUUUUAUGGAGCAAAGGUUGUAUCAAGUACAGUUUUCCAAAAAUACCAGAAUGUCUCUAAUAUCCGGUCACAUUUUGAGGUUUUCGAGCCAGAAGGUUUUCCUUGCAGUUCUGACCCACAUCCUGCAGCAGAUAAUGUGUGUCACAUUGCUCCCGCAGGAUACUGUUUCGCAUCUCUAAGGUCACACGUUUUUUUUCCUCCCUGGUGUGAUGGAUGUGUGAGCGAGAGGUUGGGAAAACACAGCAUCAUUAUAAAGUAGUGUUUUUCAGUUGUUUGUUUGUUUAGGCAGCUGCAGCUUGACCUUUUAACUACAUCAGACACAUGCGUGCAUUAGAAGUGUAGUGUUGAAGAUCAUACUAUAAAAGUUAAUAUGGAGUUCCCCUAUAAAACUGAGGAGCAUCCUCUGCUCAUAAAUCCAGAGAGGAAGAAUAGAAAGUGACUGUUGUGUGUUUAUGGCUGUUUUAAUGAGAAACAUAAACCAGAGGAAGAGAUUGUCAGGCCAUGUGAUCGAUCCUCUGCUGACUGAUCAAAGUGUUUGAUGGAAGUUUUUGCUCGUGAUGCUGAGAUAGUUGUCUGUUGAUUAUUAAAAUUUCAAAGGAGGAGCACACUGAUGAAUUCAGACAAAAAUCGAUCCCUUUUUAUGAUUUUUGUCCGAGCCAAAAUCACACACAGAUGUGAAGUUGUUAACAGUAAACAGAUGUUUGCACACGCCUCCUCCUCCUCCUCCUCACCUGUGUCUGAUAAAUGACGUCACCAGUUAAACAUUCAGAGCUGACACUGGUUCAUGUUAGUAAAACUUUAUGUCUGCAUGCAAUUUUAUGCACUUUAAACAUUUGGCAGCAAACCAGCGGCUGGCUUUCCUUUUUGUGGGAAAGUAAAGGAAUGUCAUAUAGGCUACUGGUGCACCAAGGGUGAGGGUUAGUGAGGAGGGGGGGUAGUUCUUAAUCCAAAGUGGUAGGUCAUGGUCUGGGACAGAGGAAUGGGGUCAUUUCCCACCACUUAAAAGAACCAGCUUUUACUUUUAGUUAGCACUAUCACUGCCUGUAUUCACUUCUGACUGAACCUCUCUGUGUCAUGUUAGCCGUGUGCACCUGUCAGCAGUUUACUGUUCACGGGUUUGAAGUCGAGGAUAAACUGACCUGCUUUCCAGCUGCUUCGACUACAAGCAUCAAGACGCCAUUUUUUUAUCAGAGUUACAAAGUUAAUGGUAAUCUCUGAACUUCUGGAUACUUGACGCUGUAAAUUGUUACCUAAAUUGCAACCUAGUAUUUUGGCCAUGGUGGAUUAUGAUGGACUAGAUUGGAUCAGAUCCAUAGACUGUGUAUAGAAUGGACAGAGUCUGCCUCCUCGCUGGGUGAAGCCACCCUGAGAACGGCACACUCUGGUGACGGGCUGCAGUAUAGGUCAUAAAUCCCGCCUCCUCCAGCCAUCCCUAUGGAGCUGUCGACAAACUUCAGAAAUUUAUAACACAGAAUAUAAAUUUUUCUCACCCCUGGUUGUGAUGUUGACAUGUAGUUACUGUAAGACUGGUUUGUGCUCAAGUCCUCUUUUUUUCUUGUACAGCUCUGAUUUUGAAAGUUAUUAGGGGGUUCAUGUUUUCUAUGAUUGACACCUGAUACAGCCUAUGGGUGUACGAGGAUUGCAUAGCUCACCCGGGGGAUAUGCUGUUUGAGCCAAACGUCAUCACUGCGUCAACGCCAACACUGAAGACAGAACCAAGUUGUCCAUUAUCGAUGGAUGGAUGGAUAGCUGGAUGGUAGAGUGAACUCUUUUACAGAAAAGCAACCUUAAAGGCCAAACACCCAUUCUUCCCAAGGACCAGUCCCCAACACACUAUAUGAAAUCAGCAUUAUUCAUUCCUCUCUGAAGAGGUGUUACAUGUACAAAGAUAGUGGUCCCCAUACAGGAAACCCUAGCUCAGCUAGGGUGACCAUACCUCCUCUUUUACCCAGACAUGUCCCCUUUUUGGGGGGCUGUCAGGGCUGUCUGGGCUUGUCCGGCUUUGUCCAGGGAAGUUUAUAAAAUCCUUCAAAUGUCCGCAGUUUUGUACAUAAGUUUCAGUUUUCUGUCACAUGGACUUACUGAGUUAGAAGCGCAUAAAGGACACUCGAUGCGACUCGAAAAACUCACAAUUAACUUCGUGCAACUCCGUGACUCCGUACCCUUGUGGUCAUGUCCUGUUUUUUGGAAGUCAGAAUAUGGUCACCCUAACUCAACCUAACUUCAAGCCAAGAGAAAUGAUUAUUUGCAUACAAAAAGUGAUAUUUGGGGGACAGCAGCAAAGACCAUGGAGCACUGAAAUUGUUGAAAACUAGACACAACAUAAAAGGAUGGCUGGGGUAGAAGCAGGUUGCAAAGCUGUUUGCAGAAAAAGCAGCAAGAGUAGGCGGGGUGGCGGCAUUUUGACUUUUGGCCAUAGUUAUGAACAGCUGUUGUAUCAAAGGCUGAGCCUGACUUUGUGGCCUGCCCGAACUAAUGAUUCAUCCGUUCUGGUUUGGGUACUGUGUAGUCUAACCGUGGAUUAAUAAUUAACCAGAUUUUUAAUUUCAACAGUUAUCUUGGUUGUGGUUGAGAGAUAUAUCAUGGUUGUGUCUUAAGAGCUUGUCACCACUAAUAAAUUAACCAUGCAGGGCUGAUUCACUGAUUCGUAGGAUGGUAUCUCUCUUUUCACAUACACCAAAAGGAGUGUUUUUAGUUUGAGAGCAUCUGACACUAACAGUCUCCUGCUGUGAAGUGCACGUGUGAAAGAGGCUUUUCUGGAAACCAUCAGGACCUGAAUUUCCUGAAAUGAUUCAAAACAUGUCUCAUGAAUUAAGCAGGCUAUAGAACUAGAACAGGAAAUCGCUGGGCUUAGUUACCUCAGCAGGUUCACUCAUAGAAAAAAUGAUCCACAUGCUCGGUCUUUUUUAGCGCAGUCAUACUAUCAGUGCUGGUGUGUUCAGCUGAAAGAGAGAGGACACAAACGCAGACAGAUGAGAGCAGGACCGAUUCAGUGACUCAGUGACUUUGAAUCUUUAUCAGAGUAAACGCAGAGAAGAGAGAGGAACAAAAAAUACCUCCAAACUACUUCUCUUCUCUGCCCGCUGUAAUUCAAAGCCGCAGCACUUCAAUUAGAGAGGAAAUAGGAAACAACCUGCCACCAAAAAACAGUCCUCCACAGUUAAUUUGAUUGGCUGUUUUCUUGUGACAGGCCCACAUGGCUUCUCUCCAUGUGCUGUGUGGGAGAUUGUUUGUGUGUGUGUGUGUGUGUGUGUGUGUGUGUGUGUGUGUGUGUGUGUGUGUGUGUGUGUGUGUGUGUGUGUGUGUGUGUGUGUGUGUGUGUGUGUGUGUGUGUGUCAGGGCUGGUGGGGUCAUUACUGUCACAUGGUUCACAGAAACAGAUGAAGGAACUACAUUUUUUUAGAGGGUGCUGUGAUGUUGUGAUGUUAACCCUCUUCUCUCUGUUUUCUUUGUGCAUGCUUAUAUGUGUGUGUGUGUGUGUGUGUGUGUUUUGUAGAUUUGAGUGUGAACCUGGCUGUAGGUGGCUGUGGGUAUAAAAGGGGGGUGAUGCCUUUGUGUUAAAAUUGAAAAUUAAAUGUCCUCGAACCUCUUCUGUUCCUGCAGAGACUCUGUUCCCUCAGACCUGUCUGAAGGUUUCUCUGUCAGCCUCAGUGAGUGCAUUCACACCAUGAAAGAGAUGGAGGUCAUUUGCAAGGCUGUACCGCAGAGCUCCAACACGAAAUCAAAAGCCAAACUUCUUACAUAAGACAGCAUUUGUACAUUGUGUAUAAUUCGACUAGUUUAUUCAGAAAGUUUAUUCACUCAACGUGACGUAAGUUUACAGAACAAUGAAGCCUGAAUGAUCCCAGUUAGUGCUGUCAUGUUACAUGACUGUGUUUUAUUACUGAAUAGUGUUUCCCAGCGAGAUGCGCCACAAAGCAGCUGGGGCAUGGGAUGAGCUUGUCACCUGUGGGAAUAUUAUUUGAUGGAGGAAUUUAGAUGUUGCACUUUAACCCAUUAUUUGAUAACUAUUUAUUUAAAAAAGCAACUGUAAGUUGUAUAACUGAUCUCCAAGGGAUAUUUCAGUGUAAAAUUGAGUUAGGGUCAAACACAUCUAGGGCUGAAACGAUUACUCGAGUAACUCGAGUAACUCGAUUAAUAAAAUUCCUCGAGGAAUCGUUUAAAUCCGGAACCAUGUGCAGCGCACGGUGUUUGACACGGACGGUUAUUUCUGUUGCGCAGAAGCGUGCUCUUUCCGCUCCUUCCGCUGCCGCGCGUUUGGUUCAAUCAUGGAGGGAAACGAGGACAGACAGAAGCUGUGUCCGAAAUGGCAUACUGCCUGCUAUCUACUUACCUACUCAAGCAGUAGCUACUGCCUACUGACUACUCAAAGAUGAUUUGAGUAUGCCGCGGCUGCCCGAGCGUUUACACACAUACAUACUAAAUACCCCAGAAUGCAUUUCGUGCCGGCCGGACGCAGCGCCGGGAAAAUUUAAAUAGUCCUACCACAAGCUACAUAGAACGACUGCAUACCGGACAAAUUAUAUAAAUUCAUUCAAUAAUAAUAUUUUUUCUAGCGAGAAAGUAAGUGUUUACAUCACGAUUAUGAGCCCAGUUGUUUGAAAUAGUGGCUGUUUGUAAAUUUGUCUCGGCGUUUUCGGAGACCGAAGCGUCCACUUGGUCGGUGUUUGCGUCUAUUUACCGUAAACACCGGGCAGCAGCAGCUCCCCCUUCACGUUUCCAAAUUAUUGCGAAGUGUUUUCAUAAUCAACAUCUACACGACACAAACCGGGCGGCAGUGGAUGAAAAAAAUCACACAAACAUCCGUGUAUCCAUGGUGAUAAUGCUAUACACCACCUGCUAGGCGUGUGAUGAGCAGCAGAGGGCUGCAAAAUGACCAACACACAACAACAUGUAAAUAAAAAUGUAACACUUUUAUAUAUUGAAUAAAUGUACAUUUGCUUGUCAAAUUAUGUUAGUAUCCAAGAAUUAUAUUAUUUCAGCCUAUUAAUUAAACAAGUAAAAUUAGAUCCAAAGCCUGGAAAUAGUUGUGACUGGUUUAGUGAAAACUGCAAAGAUCAUUACCAUAGCAAUUAAAAGACCAUCUGCAGACCUUGCCUUCAGUAGUUUCAUGUGAACUACAUGGUAAAAUGUAAAACUUUUGGUUCCUGAUUUAUGCAGUAAAAAUAUUCAUUUGAAAGACCUGGCCUAUUUCAGUUUUGUGUGUUACUGAUGGUUUUUAAUGAGGCAAACGUGAUUCAAUGCAAAGUAUUACAGUGAGAGCAAAACAUUUCUUAUCCGAUUACUCCAAGCAGUUAAAGGGAUAUUUCAGUGCAAAAUUGAGUUAUGGUCAAACACAUCGUAACACCGAGUUAGACACCCCCUCAAGAGAUGAAUGUUGUCGACCGCUUGCUUCUCUAGUUUUACCAUCUUUAGUAACGACCUCACAAUAGCAAUACACAGUGGUCUCAGGAGCCAUCAACAAACCUCAACUAAAAAGCCACUUUAUAGCCACAAAUAAUGAUCAGAAUAGCACCUGAGGUCUCCUACAUACAAGUGGCUGCUGGAAGAGAGUGGGUGAGUUGUGUUUCUUUUGCAAAGAGACUAAACACAACUCACCCACUCUCUUCCAGCAGCCAGUUGUUUGUAGGAGACCUCAGGCCAGUCCAUGAUGGACAACAGCGGGGUGACGCAGCUCAAGGAAGAACAUUUAUGAUCAUUUCUUUAUCAUUUUCUUGAAGUAAUUAUCACCAUAUUAAUCAUUUUGCACUGCGGUAGUUCUUAUACUUUAGCGUCUCGGCCUGAUUGUAUUUCCAUGAAGAAAUGAUCAUAAUUGUUUCCCUGAGCUGUGUAAAGUUGGUAAAACUAGAGAAGCAAGCGGUCGGCAACAUUCAUCUCUCAAGGGGGUGUCUAACUCUGUGUUACGGUGUGUUUGACCCUAAAUUUUACACCAGAAUAGUCCUCGAACCAAAACAAUUAUGAUAGUUGUUGAGCAAUAUACAGUGCAGUAUAGAUAUAGCCCAGAUUUAGAUUUAGUCCAAACUUGUUCUAAAUUUAGAUUUCUAAAAAGCUUUAAUUUUUAGACCUGCGGUAGCCUGAUUCUAAACCAGUCGUCUAAGCUACAUUUAGACGUCUGUUAAACCUCUUUGAGACCAAAAAAUGCUCAGUGGGUGGGCUGAACACCAGCCGCUUGAGAAACAUCCACACCCCACAUAAACUUACCUGGACUUUAAGGGUGCAAGCAGGAGAUAUUCCAGGUUGAGGUCAGGGUGAAAAACUGAACUGUUUGUGUUCACACAUGAAGCUCGCCUACGGGGUAAUAUCUGGAAAUUUUCAGAAACUUUGUGCAUGUCUGAAAGGGGCAUAUCUUAUCUACUUGUCUUCUAUAUAAAUCACCUGUAUCUUCGCUCGAUUAUUGUAAACUAUAAACCCACUACUCUUACAGUAAAUGGUUAAUUUUCUGAACGUCUUGCCUUUAAGAGGACCUUCUGUUUGGUGCAAGACGUGGUGUGAAUCUUGGCGUUUCCUGUCCCAGAUUUCUCUCCUCUGCUCAUGCGUGUCCUCAGGUUGCCUCCAGAUUCAAGCUGUUUUCUGAGGGCUCUCGGGAUCCCGGGUUACAGCUGAGUCGAGACGGAACCACCAUCAUAUGACCAAACUACCACUUCAUAUACAACGUGAGCAUUUAAAGAGCUCCAUCAGACACAAUGACACACCUGUUAUUGGUGUGUGAUAACAGAGAGGGUGCCAGCAGAGAAUCAUUAGUGACUCUGAACAUUGAGGCAUUGUGUGAGGGAAGCUGUGCUCGGCCUGUUAAUGGCAGCCUGAAACAUUGGCCCUGACAGGCGGGCAGGCUGGCGUCAGCGCUGGCAGAGAGACACAGAGAGAGCGAGGGAGAGAGAGAGAGAGAAGCUGGCAUGAAAAGAGAGGAUCUGAACCGCUGCCAGAUUCUGCUGCUUUAACGGAGAACCAACAGCAGAGAGGGGGUCAGCUGUCCGGACCCUUAAAACAGCACUGCACUGUUUCUGUGCGCUCAAAACGCUUUUAUUUCCCUUUCACAUCUAAUUCAAUAAACAUCCCCCGUCUGUCAGAGAGAAUCAGAGCGACGCUGCAGCAGCUCCUUCCUGCUGGAUCUCUGUGGUCCUGAAUACAGAUCCACUCACAGAUCAGGACUAAGAACUCCUGCAGCCAGAUCACCCCUAACUUCAGAUCUGUUAUACAUACUGGAGCUUUAAACCCACUCACUGAAUCACAAAGGCCAUCAGAAGGUCUCACUCAGAGAUGGGAAUCAACUGUCAGAAAUAUAAGCAGAUAUAUAAGGAUGAAUGCCAUUAUUUUACUGGUAAAGCAAUCUCAUUUACAGGCCAAAACCAGCAGUUAUUUGGUCACACCAUCUUCAUAUGCACAGCUUUAAAAAACAAACUUAGAAACAACCUGAAGCCAUUGGUGGUUUUGGACUAAAUUUGACUGCUUUCAUGGGCAAUCCUGAAAAAACAGCAGGACUUCAGCCCAGCCAAGAUUUUUUGAUGUUGAUGGAACAGCCUGAACCCCGGUUUGAUGGUUUUGAAAUAAUUUAUAGACCCACUCUGAUGAAAAUCAUGUUUUUCUUGUUUUUCUUGUUCAUAUGGCAUUUUUCUGAUUCUGCAGGGCAAAUCAUGAGAAAACUAAAUGCAAAAUUACUUUUCCUUUUGUUUUUUUCCCGUUUUUCCUGUUUUAUUUUGUAGUAGUUUAUUCCCUGUGUUUCUAGUCUUGUUUUACUUUCUCAGUUUCCCCCCUCUGUAAUUGUCUGCACCUGUGUCUCUGUGUCUCACCUGCCUCUCGUUGCUCAUUUCCCUGUUGUUGUAUAUAUAUAGUCAUUGUCUUCCCCUGUUUCUUUGUUGGUUCAUUAGAUGUGUAUGCUGUAUGUAUCUUUGUCGGUGUGUGUUUAUGCCAGUGUCCCCAGUGUCUCCUGGUGAUUUGUUCCCCCAGUGCC